GGACCGGGUGGGGAGCGGUAGCACGCCCGCGAGGCUGCAGAGCGCCGGAGUGACGGCAGGGGACGCACGCGCCUCGCCACUGCUUUUCGAGCCUAAUCAUUCCUUGAAGAAAGGGGUUGUGAGAGAUGAGUGAGGGGCCCAGGGCUCUGAUUCAUGCUGAGGUUGUAAGAGCCACAGAUGGAUUUGAGAGAAGUUGGGACAGCCCCACCCCCACCCCAGCCACAGCCAAGUCCCAGGUCAUGGAGAAAACGUGACUGCUGAUGACCAGUGAACUGGAUCCAGGCCCUCGGAGGCUCCUCAGCCCCUCCUCUCUCUGGUUUUGGAAUGUGGGUUCUGCUGGACGCCCUCACUCCCAGAGGCUGCUCCAAGGACACAGCCUUGAGUUAGUUCGGUGGUGUUCAGAGCAACUGGACGGCAUACGUGACUGAACCCAGGUGAGGCCUCUGUCUCAACGUGUGAGUGUGGCGAGUGGGUGUGGAGACCUGCACCUCGUGGCUCCCCAUGACUAGCCUCGUUCCCUUGCUUAUUAGACUUUCCACCCAGCAGCCUGGUGGCCUGCCUCUUGCUUCGGUCUCUCCCUGCUCCCUGUGUGGGGGCCGGUUUCAGAUCACACCUGGGAAGCCUUGGAGGAGCCUGUGAACCAGCCUUAUCGUCUGUGCCCUUGAGGCUAUUAAUGCUUAUUGUACCCGUGUAAUAGAAAUGCUCCUUAAUGGGUGUCCUGCUGGCAUUUCUUCUCAGCUUUGUGAUCAGUGACAUCAUGUUGGUGGCUUGAAGUUGGCCAUGAUGGAAAUAUUUACACCAUAGAAAUCAGUAAAUGUUGUAAGUCAAAGCUUUUCUGUGAUUAUUGUUCAACAUCUGCCAGCAUACCACUCACUACAAGCAAGCUUUGGGAACCGAGAACACCUUCCUAUUUCUGAGGAAAAUGGUAAAUGAGGGAAAAUAAGGCAGAAAAGUAAGACAUGAAGUGCUGGUAAUGUGUAGGAAAUUUCCAGGAAAUCCUGACUGAUAAUUAGAAAGAGAGGGCCUCUGGGACGCCUGGCUGGCUCAGUCAGUAGAGUAUGUGGCUCUUGAUUUCCGGGUGGUGAGUUUGAACCCCAUGUUGGAUGUAGAGAUUACUAAUAAUAAUAAAAGAGAGAAAGGGCUUCUUACUUCCAUGAAUGUAACACCAUGUUUGGUAUCAUUUUGGACCCCUUGUGUGGACAAGAUGUGGCCCAGGAGCUCCUCUGGGGCUUUUAAGUACACUUCUUGCUUUUGGUCCAAAGGCAGUACUGUAGCACCAGGGACUACUUGCACCUUCUCAGAGGAUGAGGGUCAAAAAAAGGCCCCUCUAAGUACACACUGGCUAUUCAGUUCAGAAGGCUGCACAACAUGAUUUUUCAUCAAGGGUUGCAAGAAGGGCUGGGGCAGUGCACAGCCCCAUGUCCUGAGACUACUUUCAUGGCCAAAGGAGAAAGGGUGGAGGUCCUCUGGGUUGAGAAUGAGCUUUUCUGGGAGGAGCACAGGGUGCGGCUUUGCUGGCGCCAGGGCACAGGGCAAGUGCACUUCUGUAUUAUUCGUUAUAACUCCUGGACAGCUGAUCGAUCACCUGCCACUCGAGAGCACUGUUGAUCUAUAAGGAACACUGGCAGGCAGGCCUCCAAUCAGACUAAAGAAUAAGAUGGGCUUGCUCGGGGGCACCUGGGUGGCUCAUUCAGUUAAGUGUCUGACUCCUAGUUUUG
Long non-coding RNA from Leopardus geoffroyi (Geoffroy's cat), 1718 nucleotides. RefSeq lists it as uncharacterized. Lineage: Eukaryota; Metazoa; Chordata; Mammalia; Carnivora; Felidae. The transcript is spliced from 3 exons. The record is from RefSeq and is a predicted model, not a curated record.